CACGCAUGACACACUGCAUAUCAAUAAGCGGAGGAAAAGAAACUAACAAGGAUUCCCCUAGUAACGGCGAGUGAAGCGGGAAGAGCUCAAAUUUGAAAUCUUAAAGGGUUUCCCUUUACGAAUUGUAGUUUAUAAGAAGAGUUUUCUGUUAGUAGAGUGGCUAAAAGUUCUUUGGAAUAGGACAUCAUAGAGGGUGAGAAUCCCGUAUUUGGUCAUUCUUCUAGCGUUCGUGAUACACUUUCAACGAGUCGGAUUGUUUGGGAAUGCAGUCCAAAAUGGGUGGUAAAUCUCAUCUAAAGCUAAAUAUUGGCGAGAGACCGAUAGCGAACAAGUACCGUGAGGGAAAGAUGAAAAGAACUUUGAAAAGAGAGUUAAACAGUACGUGAAAUAGUCAAAAGGGAAGCGUUUGACACCAGUGUUGUUUUUCCGAAAAUCAAUUAUGAAUGUUUUGUUUUUGAGGAGUUAUGACUUCAUCGGCUUGCUUCUUUCUUUACGAAACUUUCUUAAUGCACUUUUCGGUUAACAAGUCAACAUCAAUUUCUUUUGUUGUAAAAGGGUAUGAGGAAGGUGGCUUUCUUUUCGGAGAAAGUGUUUAUAGCCUUGUGCCUCUGCAAUCGGAGAGAUUGAGGUCUGCAGCGUAGAUCCUUCGGGGUUAGAUACAGUUUGUGCUAAGUUAUAGCUUUUCAUAGACAACUUGUUGACUAUGUUUAGUCUUGUAGCUUACUCGCUGAUGCUAUUUUACCUACGCUUAGGAUGUUGACUGAUAUGUAGUCGUA
This 776-nucleotide ribosomal RNA is filed under the name uncultured Neocallimastigales. RNAcentral's name for it is "partial large subunit ribosomal RNA". It matches the Rfam family "Eukaryotic large subunit ribosomal RNA", at positions 24 to 644 of the family's 3401-position model. Lineage: Eukaryota; Fungi; Neocallimastigomycota; Neocallimastigomycetes; Neocallimastigales. The record is from RNAcentral.